This 512-nucleotide ribosomal RNA is filed under the name uncultured bacterium. RNAcentral describes it as "bacterial SSU rRNA". It matches the Rfam family "Bacterial small subunit ribosomal RNA", at positions 1 to 509 of the family's 1533-position model. The record is from RNAcentral.
CAACAGCUAGAGUUUGAUCCUGGCUCAGGAUGAACGCUGGCGGCGUGCCUAACACAUGCAAGUCGAACGGAGCACCCCGGAACGAGACUUCGGUCAAGGGAAGGGAAUGCUUAGUGGCGGACGGGUGAGUAACGCGUGAGGAACCUGCCUUCCAGUGGGGGAUAACACAUCGAAAGGUGUGCUAAUACCGCAUAACGUAUGUUUACCGCAUGGUAGAGAUACCAAAGAUUUAUUGCUGGAAGAUGGCCUCGCGUCCAAUUAGCUAGUUGGCGGGGUAAAUGCCCACCAAGGCGACGAUUGGUAGCCGGACUGAGAGGUUGAACGGCCACAUUGGGACUGAGACACGGCCCAGACUCCUACGGGAGGCAGCAGUGGGGAAUAUUGCACAAUGGGGGAAACCCUGAUGCAGCAACGCCGCGUGAAGGAUGAAGGUUUUCGGAUUGUAAACUUCUUUUAUUCGGGACGAAGAAAGUGACGGUACCGAAUGAAUAAGCCACGGCUAACUACGUGCC